AAAUUUUUCUACUUUUUCUUUACAGAGUGAAACCAGCUGUUUUUGAUCUUUUCCUUGCAGUUGCAAUUGCAAUAUAUUUAUCCAUUGUUUAUUUCAUCAUAAUGAAUUUUUAUCGAGUAGAAAGUUUCCUCAGACAGCUGGCUAGUCCAGUGAAAUCUAAACAGACUUAAAGCAUGCGGCGCAACAUCACAAUAAUAAAAACAAUUGACAUUAUUCCUACUUAUUUACAAUGUAUAGUAUUAAGAAUUGUGACGUAUUCCAACCGAUUUAACCAUAUUUCCAUAAUGUUGUGAUACUCCAAAUAGAAUUUGGAUGUGUACAAGAUUAAAAAAACAAAUUCCUUCUUCUGUGUCUGAAUCUUAAAGAUUUUCGUACCAAGAAAAAAAAAUGAGAUAUUGAUUAAAUUGUUAGUGAAAACAGGUAAGCCAGACUCUACAGCAAUAACAAAAUAAACCACCUUUUAUUAAUAAU
Long non-coding RNA from Centruroides sculpturatus (bark scorpion), 471 nucleotides. RefSeq lists it as uncharacterized. The record is from RefSeq and is a predicted model, not a curated record. NCBI's taxonomy places the organism in Eukaryota, Metazoa, Arthropoda, Arachnida, Scorpiones, Buthidae. The transcript is spliced from 2 exons.